This 253-nucleotide ribosomal RNA is filed under the name uncultured bacterium. RNAcentral's name for it is "partial 16S ribosomal RNA". It matches the Rfam family "Bacterial small subunit ribosomal RNA", at positions 524 to 776 of the family's 1533-position model. The record is from RNAcentral.
UACGUAGGAGGCAAGCGUUGUCCGGAUUUACUGGGCGUAAAGAGCGUGUAGGCGGCCAAGCAGGUCCGUUGUGAAAACUGGAGGCUUAACCUCCAGACGUCGACGGAAACCGCGUGGCUAGAGUCCGGAAGAGGAGAGUGGAAUUCCUGGUGUAGCGGUGAAAUGCGCAGAUAUCAGGAAGAACACCAAUGGCGAAGGCAGCUCUCUGGGACGGUACUGACGCUGAGACGCGAAAGCGUGGGGAGCGAACAGG